This 253-nucleotide ribosomal RNA is filed under the name uncultured bacterium. RNAcentral's name for it is "partial 16S ribosomal RNA". It matches the Rfam family "Bacterial small subunit ribosomal RNA", at positions 524 to 776 of the family's 1533-position model. The record is from RNAcentral.
UACAGAGGUCUCAAGCGUUGUUCGGAUUCAUUGGGCGUAAAGGGCGCGUAGGCGGCGGGGUAAGUCGGGUGUGAAAUCUCAGGGCUCAACCCUGAAACUGCACUCGAUACUGCUCUGCUUGAGGACUGGAGAGGAGACUGGAAUUCACGGUGUAGCAGUGAAAUGCGUAGAUAUCGUGAGGAAGACCAGUGGCGAAGGCGGGUCUCUGGACAGUUCCUGACGCUGAGGCGCGAAGGCCAGGGGAGAAAACGGG